This is a long non-coding RNA of Felis catus (domestic cat), 300 nucleotides long. RefSeq lists it as uncharacterized. Lineage: Eukaryota; Metazoa; Chordata; Mammalia; Carnivora; Felidae. The transcript has 2 exons. The record is from RefSeq and is a predicted model, not a curated record.
CCCAGGAUCUUCCGAGGCGGGGCGGGAGAAGGCCCACCCCCGAGGGCUGCUCCCCACCACCCCCCUUCGCCCAGCAUGUGAGUCAGAGGAAACCACCCACAGCUCAGCGGGGUUUAAUGAAAGGAAGAGAUUCAUUCUCCCUGGAGCGGAAUAGGCACUCGGUGAGAGGAUGCCCCGCGCGUGCUUUAGGGCGGACCAAAACAGCCCUCCUUUUUGGUAAAAUCAUGAAGAGGCCGGGACGGCUCCACAGAGCUUUGCCCUAAAACACCACCUCGAAAAUGAACGCUCUUUUCCCUUCUA